ACAUGAUGUUGAAUCCAGCUGAUAACUGGCCUUCAGUGCUCCAGAAGAAAUGUGGUUCAUAAAUGCCACAGAAACUUGCAUUUUCUAUGAGCUGCCAUAAUGUUAUAAUUUUAUACUGUGAUGUCCUUCAGUUGUCCUCAGCUGAAACCUGAGCUGUCACACUGAGGUGCAGAAGACAAAAGGUUCCUUUUAAUCAAGGUAUGCAGGAGAAAAGAGCAAUUUCAACUAAGUGGAAAGUCUCAAAAAUG
This 248-nucleotide long non-coding RNA is filed under the name Anas platyrhynchos platyrhynchos (common mallard). RNAcentral describes it as "lncRNA (ENSAPLG00000031241.1)". Lineage: Eukaryota; Metazoa; Chordata; Aves; Anseriformes; Anatidae. The record is from RNAcentral.